GCGAGUAAGACCCUGCCCUAGUGGCUCGGUCAGUCCAUCAUAUACACCUUUAUUCGUGAACUCGUGGUUCAGCUGGACGAUGAAAGCUUUGGCGACUAGCCGUCCGUCGGUUUCCGCUCUUUAUACCCUUUAUGUGAAGUCAAUGGAAAUUAUGAUAAUCUAAUA
Molecule: unclassified non-coding RNA, 165 nt
Filed under: soil metagenome
Description: partial internal transcribed spacer 1
Source: RNAcentral